This 484-nucleotide ribosomal RNA is filed under the name uncultured bacterium. RNAcentral's name for it is "partial 16S ribosomal RNA". It matches the Rfam family "Bacterial small subunit ribosomal RNA", at positions 30 to 507 of the family's 1533-position model. The record is from RNAcentral.
AUUGAACGCUGGCGGCAGGCCUAACACAUGCAAGUCGAGCGGAUGAAGGGAGCUUGCUCCUGGAUUCAGCGGCGGACGGGUGAGUAAUGCCUAGGAAUCUGCCUGGUAGUGGGGGAUAACGUCCGGAAACGGGCGCUGAUACCGCAUACGUCCUGAGGGAGAAAGUGGGGGAUCUUCGGACCUCACGCUAUCAGAUGAGCCUAGGUCGGAUUAGCUAGUUGGUGGGGUAAAGGCCUACCAAGGCGACGAUCCGUAACUGGUCUGAGAGGAUGAUCAGUCACACUGGAACUGAGACACGGUCCAGACUCCUACGGGAGGCAGCAGUGGUGAAUAUUGGACAAUGGGCGAAAGCCUGAUCCAGCCAUGCCGCGUGUGUGAAGAAGGUCUUCGGAUUGUAAAGCACUUUAAGUUGGGAGGAAGGGCAGUAAGUUAAUACCUUGCUGUUUUGACGUUACCAACAGAAUAAGCACCGGCUAACUUCGUG